This is a non-coding RNA of Vicia faba (fava bean), 279 nucleotides long. NCBI's taxonomy places the organism in Eukaryota, Viridiplantae, Streptophyta, Magnoliopsida, Fabales, Fabaceae. The record is from the annotation of a GenBank genome assembly.
AUGUUGGUAUAUGUUGUUGAUGUCAUCAUCAAUGGUAGCAAAUGUAACUUCAGUCAGCAAGUAGUUACCAAAUUGAACUCAGUACUCUCUCUCAAAGAAGUUGGAGACUCGGAUUAUUUGUUAAGCGUUAAAGUCAAAUCUCGAGAUAAUGGAUCUCUUCUAUCUCAAGGAAAGCAUCUAAGGAAAGCAUACAAGUACAAGCUUUUGUUGACUCGUGAUAAAACAAAAUACAGCAAGGUCUCAAGGAUUCUAGUUUGUAAUACAAAUAAAUGCAAAUAG